AGUGAACGCUGGCGGCAUGCUUUACACAUGCAAGUCGAACGGCAGCGCGGGCUUCGGCCUGGCGGCGAGUGGCGAACGGGUGAGUAAUACAUCGGAACGUGCCCAGUAGUGGGGGAUAGCUCGGCGAAAGCCGGAUUAAUACCGCAUACGACCUGAGGGUGAAAGCGGGGGAUCUUCGGACCUCGCGCUAUUGGAGCGGCCGAUGGCAGAUUAGCUAGUUGGUGGGGUAAAGGCCUACCAAGGCGACGAUCUGUAGCUGGUCUGAGAGGACGACCAGCCACACUGGGACUGAGACACGGCCCAGACUCCUACGGGAGGCAGCAGUGGGGAAUUUUGGACAAUGGGCGAAAGCCUGAUCCAGCAAUGCCGCGUGUGUGAUGAAGGCCUUCGGGUUGUAAAGCACUUUUGGCGGGAAAGAAAAGGACUGUGCCAAUACCACGGUUCGAUGACGGUACCCGCAGAAUAAGCACCGGCUAACUACGUG
This 484-nucleotide ribosomal RNA is filed under the name uncultured bacterium. RNAcentral describes it as "partial 16S ribosomal RNA". It matches the Rfam family "Bacterial small subunit ribosomal RNA", at positions 29 to 507 of the family's 1533-position model. The record is from RNAcentral.